Pongo pygmaeus (Bornean orangutan) is the source of this 404-nucleotide long non-coding RNA. RefSeq lists it as uncharacterized. The transcript has 3 exons. Lineage: Eukaryota; Metazoa; Chordata; Mammalia; Primates; Hominidae. The record is from RefSeq and is a predicted model, not a curated record.
AGUCCCCGCGCAUCUCUGUGGCAGCUGCCCAGUGCUUCUCGCCCCGCCGCGCCCGCCCACCCAACGGCGCUGUGUCCAGUUCUAGAGACUAGAAGUCCAAAAUCAAGUGUGAGCUGGGCUGCACUCCCUCUGAGACUCAGGAGAAUUCUUCCUUGCCCUUUCCUCACUUGUGGAGGUGACUGGUAAUCCCGGACAUGCACUGGUUUACUGCUGCACCACUACUUUGCUUCUGCUGUCAUAUGGCACACGACAAUGGAGACUCUGAGAACAUCCAGAAAUAUCCAUAGGACUGGAGAGGCUGUGGGCUUUCAACCACCAUGAGGGGCUGUUUGCAUAUGAUUCUUCUAAAAUUGACAUCAGUGAAAUGCCUUGAAGAUAAUAAAGUGUUGAAGAAAUAAACAAAA